RNAcentral lists this ribosomal RNA (84 nucleotides) under Clostridium sporogenes. Lineage: Bacteria; Bacillati; Bacillota; Clostridia; Eubacteriales; Clostridiaceae. The record is from RNAcentral.
CCCAUGCCGAACACGAAGGUUAAGCUUCAAAGCGCUGAUGGUACUGCAGGGGAGGCCCUGUGGAAGAGUAAGUCGUUGCCAGAU